UACCCGUAGACACACCUUCAUAUCUAUCGGAAGAAGUGAUGCUUUUACAGAUGGAGCCCGUUAUCUUCUCCAAUAACAAGCCAGAUACGUCGGCGUGUAAGACUAAAUGGGUAAGGAUAAUAAAUGCCCUAUAAAUAACCCUUUUUCACUUGUUUGGUUUCUUUCGUCUUGUGGCGGCAUUCUGACGGCAAGGUUGGUCCGACCGGACCGGGCCGAACCUUCACUCGAUUUGGAUUAUGGGCCGUUUUAAGUUAGACAAAUUUGGCCCAUAGGCUGGCCCAAUUAAUUGAGGAGUGUAAUUGAUAAUGACAUACAUAAGGAUACACGAUCUCGAUCUUUAGAAUAAUGAUAAUACCCUCUCGAAUUAUCUUAUUUUAGAAUCCACUUUGAUUAAUAUAUAUAUAUAUAUAUAUUUGGGUAUUUUAGAAAUAUUUAAUAUUUUAAGUAAUUGUUCUAACAACAUCUUCAUAUUUAAUAUUGGAAAGAAAAAGGAAAGAGCAGAGGAUCAUGGAACAGAGUGCAUGCUUCUUCUCCCCUCCUCUCGAUUCAUAUUUGAAACUGUGUCCCGAUGAUAUCUGAUACUAUACUGUGGAAGCGUGUGUUC
Molecule: long non-coding RNA, 604 nt
Filed under: Musa acuminata (dwarf banana)
Lineage: Eukaryota; Viridiplantae; Streptophyta; Magnoliopsida; Zingiberales; Musaceae
Description: long non-coding RNA (MACU_LNC000048)
Source: RNAcentral